This 497-nucleotide ribosomal RNA is filed under the name uncultured bacterium. Its description in RNAcentral is "partial 16S ribosomal RNA". It matches the Rfam family "Bacterial small subunit ribosomal RNA", at positions 28 to 507 of the family's 1533-position model. The record is from RNAcentral.
GAUGAACGCUGGCGGCGUGCCUAAUACAUGCAAGUCGAGCGAACAGACGAGGAGCUUGCUCCUCUGACGUUAGCGGCGGACGGGUGAGUAACACGUGGAUAACCUACCUAUAAGACUGGGAUAACUUCGGGAAACCGGAGCUAAUACCGGAUAAUAUAUUGAACCGCAUGGUUCAAUAGUGAAAGACGGUUUUGCUGUCACUUAUAGAUGGAUCCGCGCCGCAUUAGCUAGUUGGUAAGGUAACGGCUUACCAAGGCAACGAUGCGUAGCCGACCUGAGAGGGUGAUCGGCCACACUGGAACUGAGACACGGUCCAGACUCCUACGGGAGGCAGUAGUAGGGAAUCUUCCGCAAUGGGCGAAAGCCUGACGGAGCAACGCCGCGUGAGUGAUGAAGGUCUUCGGAUCGUAAAACUCUGUUAUUAGGGAAGAACAAAUGUGUAAGUAACUAUGCACGUCUUGACGGUACCUAAUCAGAAAGCCACGGCUAACUACGUG